GUACUCGCUUCGGCAGCACAUAUACUAAAAUUGGAAUGAUACAGAGAAGAUUAGCAUGGCCCCUGCACAAGGAUGAUGCGCAUAUUUGUGAAGUGUUCCAUAUUUUU
Molecule: small nuclear RNA, 107 nt
Filed under: Aotus nancymaae (Ma's night monkey)
Lineage: Eukaryota; Metazoa; Chordata; Mammalia; Primates; Aotidae
Source: RNAcentral